AAUGGGGGAAACCCUGAUGCAGCGACGCCGCGUGAGCGAUGAAGCCCUUCGGGGUGUAAAGCUCUUUCGGCAGGAACGAUAAUGACGGUACCUGAAGAAGAAGCUGCGGCUAACUACGUGCCAGCAGCCGCGGUAAUACGUAGGCAGCAAGCGUUGUUCGGAGUUACUGGGCGUAAAGAGUGUGUAGGCGGUUUCGUAAGUUUGGUGUGAAAUCUCCCGGCUUAACUGGGAGGGUGCGCCGAAGACUGCGAGGCUCGAGUGCCGGAGAGGUAAGCGGAAUUCCUGGUGUAGCGGUGAAAUGCGUAGAUAUCAGGAGGAACACCGGUGGUGUAGACGGCUUACUGGACGGCCACUGACGCUGAGACACGAAAGCGUGGGUAGCAAA
This 385-nucleotide ribosomal RNA is filed under the name uncultured bacterium. Its description in RNAcentral is "bacterial SSU rRNA". It matches the Rfam family "Bacterial small subunit ribosomal RNA", at positions 370 to 772 of the family's 1533-position model. The record is from RNAcentral.